ACGUAGGUUGCAAGCGUUGUCCGGAUUUACUGGGUGUAAAGGGCGUGUAGGCGGAGAUACAAGUUGGGAGUGAAAUCCAUGGGCUCAACCCAUGAACUGCUCUCAAAACUGUAUCCCUUGAGUAUCGGAGAGGCAAGCGGAAUUCCUAGUGUAGCGGUGAAAUGCGUAGAUAUUAGGAGGAACACCAGUGGCGAAGGCGGCUUGCUGGACGACAACUGACGCUGAGGCGCGAAAGCGUGGGGAGCAAACAG
RNAcentral lists this ribosomal RNA (251 nucleotides) under uncultured bacterium. Its description in RNAcentral is "partial 16S ribosomal RNA". It matches the Rfam family "Bacterial small subunit ribosomal RNA", at positions 525 to 775 of the family's 1533-position model. The record is from RNAcentral.